UGACAAGUAUGUAAGAUAACAAAAGGUGGCA
Molecule: non-coding RNA, 31 nt
Filed under: Homo sapiens (human)
Lineage: Eukaryota; Metazoa; Chordata; Mammalia; Primates; Hominidae
Source: RNAcentral